UACGGAGGAUCCGAGCGUUAUCCGGAAUCAUUGGGUUUAAAGGGUCCGUAGGCGGAUAGUUAAGUCAGCGGUGAAAGUCUGCAGCUCAACUGUAGAAUUGCCGUUGAUACUGGUUAUCUUGAAUCAAAUUGAAGUGGCUGGAAUAUGUGGUGUAGCGGUGAAAUGCAUAGAUAUCACAUGGAACACCUAUUGCGAAGGCAAGUCACUAAAUUUGCAUUGAUGCUGAUGGACGAAAGCGUGGGGAGGCAAACA
Molecule: ribosomal RNA, 252 nt
Filed under: uncultured prokaryote
Description: partial 16S ribosomal RNA
Rfam family: Bacterial small subunit ribosomal RNA
Source: RNAcentral